This 1006-nucleotide long non-coding RNA is filed under the name Phaseolus vulgaris (common bean). RNAcentral's name for it is "long non-coding RNA (PVUL_LNC004306)". Lineage: Eukaryota; Viridiplantae; Streptophyta; Magnoliopsida; Fabales; Fabaceae. The record is from RNAcentral.
GAAUAUUUCUGGAAUAUACUUUCUAUAACACAUUUUAUGAAUUGCAGAUUUAUCAUUCUGAAAAUUAAAAAAUGUGUUUUGGUAAGAAUAUUCUAGAAUGGUUUUUUGCCUUCCAGAUUUCCCAUUCUGAAAAUACACUUUGCUUACUGAACCUCUAUCCAUGAAACACCUUUUCUUAUGUAAACCUUAUUCCGGAAUUACUCAAAGUUAUCAAGGAUAAUUUUGGUAUUUCAAAGAAUGUACGGGUGCCAGAAGAAAAUGUAGAGGUGCAGGAAGAAAUACCCAUUUUAAAGAUGCAUAUGCCUAACAAGAGGCUGCUUCUUCCUGCACCUCCAUACCUUCUUGUGCCAUCCCCAUAAAUUUUUCUUAUUCCAAAAAUACCCUUUUCAAUAUUCCGGAUUAUAUAAUCCGAAAGUCAUUUUUUAGAUUCAAAAUUAGCAUCCGGAUUAUGUAAUCCGGAAGUCUUUUGUGAUUAGCUUCCGGAUUACAUAAUCCGGAAGUCUUUUCUAUACAUAAGAUUAGCUUUCGGAUUAUGUAAUCCGGAAGCCUUUUUUUCCGAUGUGUUAUUAGCUUUCAGAUUACAUAAUCCGGAAGUCUUUUCUAAAUAUGAAAUUGACUUCCGAAUUAUGUAAUCCGGAAUUUAUCCGGAUUACAUAAUCCAUAGGCUUAUUAUUUUAAAUCCAAGAGGUGAAAAAAAAGGAUAAAAUGGUAUUUUUAUAUUUAGUAUGGGGGUGGCACAAAAAGGUAUGGAGGUGUAGGAAGAAAGAGUCCUAACAAGAUGACACCAUAUGUUUAUGGGCCUAGAGAUGGAGCCAUGAAGGUUUUAGGUGUUGUGUGCAUGAAGCAAGGUUGAAGGAUGGCCAAUACAUUUUCAAUUAACUUCAAAAUGAACUUUAAAUUUACUUUCACUUCAAAAUAGAAAAUAUGUUAGAAGAAGUGUAUUAUAGAAUGUGUCAAUGUUGUUCUUUUUUUAGUUAUGAUUAUUGUUUAUAUUUAGGAGUCUCAC